CUCGCCGCCGCGCCGGGGGACCCGACGCGGGACGAGACGAAAUGUGGCCGCUUCGCGGCUGAAUCGCAAG
This 70-nucleotide non-coding RNA is filed under the name unclassified sequences. Its description in RNAcentral is "eL15-Euryarchaeota ribosomal protein leader". The stretch from base 22 to 70 matches the Rfam family "eL15-Euryarchaeota ribosomal protein leader". The record is from RNAcentral.